CACACACACACCGAAGCUGCGGGUGUCACGUAAGUGACGCGGUAGAGGAGCGUUCUGUAAGCCUGUGAAGGUGAGUUGAGAAGCUUGCUGGAGGUAUCAGAAGUGCGAAUGCUGACAUGAGUAACGACAAUGGGUGUGAAAAACACCCACGCCGAAAGACCAAGGGUUCCUGCGCAACGUUAAUCGACGCAGGGUUAGUCGGUUCCUAAGGCGAGGCUGAAAAGCGUAGUCGAUGGGAAACAGGUUAAUAUUCCUGUACUUCUGGUUACUGCGAUGGAGGGACGGAGAAGGCUAGGCCAGCUUGGCGUUGGUUGUCCAAGUUUAAGGUGGUAGGCUGAAAUCUUAGGUAAAUCCGGGGUUUCAAGGCCGAGAGCUGAUGACGAGUCGUCUUUUAGAUGACGAAGUGGUUGAUGCCAUGCUUCCAAGAAAAGCUUCUAAGCUUCAGGUAACCAGGAACCGUACCCCAAACCGACACAGGUGGUCGGGUAGAGAAUACCAAGGCGCUUGAGAGAACUCGGGUGAAGGAACUAGGCAAAAUGGCACCGUAACUUCGGGAGAAGGUGCGCCGGCUAGGGUGAAGGAUUUACUCCGUAAGCUCUGGCUGGUCGAAGAUACCAGGCCGCUGCGACUGUUUAUUAAAAACACAGCACUCUGCAAACACGAAAGUGGACGUAUAGGGUGUGACGCCUGCCCGGUGCCGGAAGGUUAAUUGAUGGGGUUAGCGCAAGCGAAGCUCUUGAUCGAAGCCCCGGUAAACGGCGGCCGUAACAAUAACGGUCCUAAGGUAGCGAAAUUCCUUGUCGGGUAAGUUCCGACCUGCACGAAUGGCGUAACGAUGGCGGCGCUGUCUCCACCCGAGACUCAGUGAAAUUGAAAUCGCUGUGAAGAUGCAGUGUAUCCGCGGCUAGACGGAAAGACCCCGUGAACCUUUACUGUAGCUUUGCACUGGACUUUGAGCCUGCUUGUGUAGGAUAGGUGGGAGGCUUUGAAGCGUGGACGCCAGUUCGCGUGGAGCCAUCCUUGAAAUACCACCCUGGCAUGCUUGAGGUUCUAACUCUGGUCCGUAAUCCGGAUCGAGGACAGUGUAUGGUGGGCAGUUUGACUGGGGCGGUCUCCUCCUAAAGAGUAACGGAGGAGUACGAAGGUGCGCUCAGACCGGUCGGAAAUCGGUCGCAGAGUAUAAAGGCAAAAGCGCGCUUGACUGCGAGACAGACACGUCGAGCAGGUACGAAAGUAGGUCUUAGUGAUCCGGUGGUUCUGUAUGGAAGGGCCAUCGCUCAACGGAUAAAAGGUACUCCGGGGAUAACAGGCUGAUACCGCCCAAGAGUUCAUAUCGACGGCGGUGUUUGGCACCUCGAUGUCGGCUCAUCACAUCCUGGGGCUGAAGCCGGUCCCAAGGGUAUGGCUGUUCGCCAUUUAAAGUGGUACGCGAGCUGGGUUUAGAACGUCGUGAGACAGUUCGGUCCCUAUCUGCCGUGGACGUUUGAGAUUUGAGAGGGGCUGCUCCUAGUACGAGAGGACCGGAGUGGACGAACCUCUGGUGUUCCGGUUGUCACGCCAGUGGCAUUGCCGGGUAGCUAUGUUCGGAAAAGAUAACCGCUGAAAGCAUCUAAGCGGGAAACUUGCCUCAAGAUGAGAUCUCACUGGGAACUUGAUUCCCCUGAAGGGCCGUCGAAGACUACGACGUUGAUAGGCUGGGUGUGUAAGCGUUGUGAGGCGUUGAGCUAACCAGUACUAAUUGCCCGUGAGGCUUGAU
This 1756-nucleotide ribosomal RNA is filed under the name metagenome. RNAcentral's name for it is "bacterial LSU rRNA". It matches the Rfam family "Bacterial large subunit ribosomal RNA", at positions 1184 to 2925 of the family's 2925-position model. The record is from RNAcentral.